RNAcentral lists this non-coding RNA (793 nucleotides) under Carabus hortensis. Lineage: Eukaryota; Metazoa; Arthropoda; Insecta; Coleoptera; Carabidae. The record is from RNAcentral.
AUAAAGUUUAAUUCUGGCUUAAAGAUUUAUUUAAUUUUUUUUUUACAUGUAAAUUUUUGUGUGAAUUUUAAUUAAAUUUUAAUAAUUUUUUUAAGGUAUUAUAUUCGCAGUAUUUAUUUUUAAUAAUUUAAGAGAUUAAGAAUUAUAAAUAAAUUUUAAUAUUGACAAAUUUUGUGCCAGCAGUUGCGGUUAUACAAAGAAUAUUAAUAAAUUUUAUUAGUAAAUAAUUAUAUAUAUAUAUUAUGAUUAAAAACAAGAUUAUAUUUAUUAGGUGAAAUUUUAAAUAUAAAAUUAAUUUUGAUAUAAAUUUUUAUUAUUAUGAAAUUUAUUUUUAAACUAGGAUUAGAUACCCUAUUAUUUUAAAUGUAAAAUAAAUAUACUAAAGUAGUAUUAGUUAUGUUCUUGAAAUUUAAAGAUUUUGGCGGUAUUUUAGUCUAUUUAGAGGAACCUGUUCUAUAAUUGAUAAUCCACGAUUAAUUUUACUUAGUUUCUAUAAAUUUGUAUACCGUCGUUAUAAGAAGAUUUUAAAAGAAUAUAAAUUUUUAAUAUUUUAUAUAAAAAAAUAUAUCAGAUCAAGGUGCAGUUUAUAAUUAAGAAGAAAUGGGUUACAAUAAAUUUAUUUAUACGGAUUAAAGUGAGAAUGUAAUUUUAUGAAGGUGGAUUUAAUAGUAAUAAAAUUAAUUUAAAUUUUAUGAUUUUAGCUCUAAAAUAUGUACAUAUCGCCCGUCGCUCUUAUAUAAAAUAAGAUAAGUCGUAACAUAGUAGAUGUACUGGAAAGUGUAUCUAGAAUGAU